UCGGGUUGUAAAGCACUUUUGUCCGGAAAGAAAACUUCGUCCCUAAUAUGGAUGGAGGAUGACGGUACCGGAAGAAUAAGCACCGGCUAACUACGUGCCAGCAGCGCGGUAAUCGUAGGGUGCGAGCGUUAAUCGGAAUUACUGGGCGUAAAGCGUGCGCAGGCGGUCUGUUAAGACCGAUGUGAAAUCCCCGGGCUUAACCUGGGAACUGCAUUGGUGACCGGCAGGCUUGAGUGUGGCAGAGGGAGGUAGAAUUCCACGUGUAGCAGUGAAAUGCGUAGAGAUGUGGAGGAAUACCGAUGGCGAAGGCAGCCUCCUGGGCCAACACUGACGCUCAUGCACGAAAGCGUGGGGAGCAAACAGGAUUAGAUACCCUGGUAGUCCACGCCCUAAACGAUGUCAACUAGUUGUUGGGGAUUCAUUUCCUUAGUAACGUAGCUAACGCGUGAAGUUGACCGCCUGGGGAGUACGGUCGCAAGAUUAAAACUCAAAGGAAUUGACGGGGACCCGCACAAGCGGUGGAUGAUGUGGAUUAAUUCGAUGCAACGCGAAAAACCUUACCUACCCUUGACAUGGUCGGAACCUGCUG
This 589-nucleotide ribosomal RNA is filed under the name uncultured Burkholderia sp. RNAcentral's name for it is "bacterial SSU rRNA". It matches the Rfam family "Bacterial small subunit ribosomal RNA", at positions 418 to 1002 of the family's 1533-position model. The record is from RNAcentral. Lineage: Bacteria; Pseudomonadati; Pseudomonadota; Betaproteobacteria; Burkholderiales; Burkholderiaceae.